AACGCAAAUUGCGCUUCUCUCCGGAGGAGCACGUCUGUUUGAGCAUCAUUAAGCAACCACUCACAGUGUUAUUCUUUUUUUUCAUUCAUUGAAAUAAAGAGUAACGAUUGUGGAAUCUGAGACUUCUUUUCCUCCAAGUUAUGGAUCUUGAAUUUCAUUGAACUAUCGAAGCUGAUGUUUCUUUGGUUUUUUUUGAUCUCAUUCUCAAUUUAUUAUUUAAAUUCAGAGGAGAGGAAAAAGAAAAACUAACCAUUGUAUUAUCAAACAGUAUGUUUGAACAAUGCAAAUUUGAUCUCAAAUCAGGUGAGACUACCCGCUGAACUUAA
This 326-nucleotide unclassified non-coding RNA is filed under the name uncultured fungus. Its description in RNAcentral is "partial contains 5.8S rRNA and ITS2". The record is from RNAcentral. Lineage: Eukaryota; Fungi.